This is a non-coding RNA of Sphaeroforma arctica JP610, 46 nucleotides long. NCBI's taxonomy places the organism in Eukaryota, Ichthyosporea, Ichthyophonida. The record is from Rfam.
ACCCUGGUCUUUUUUAAGACCACCCUACUGACAAAGAAAUAUAUCA